Long non-coding RNA from Mustela erminea (ermine), 114 nucleotides. RefSeq lists it as uncharacterized. The transcript has 4 exons. Lineage: Eukaryota; Metazoa; Chordata; Mammalia; Carnivora; Mustelidae. The record is from RefSeq and is a predicted model, not a curated record.
UGGCAUUGUGCUUCCAAAUGCAGUGAAUUCAGGCCGUUGGCUCCUGGUCUUCUUAGUUCCUGUGCUAGGGGAGUGAGAUGUGUCGGUUACUGACACUGAACACUGAUUGCUUCC